RNAcentral lists this ribosomal RNA (465 nucleotides) under Vreelandella stevensii. Its description in RNAcentral is "partial 16S ribosomal RNA". It matches the Rfam family "Bacterial small subunit ribosomal RNA", at positions 338 to 795 of the family's 1533-position model. Lineage: Bacteria; Pseudomonadati; Pseudomonadota; Gammaproteobacteria; Oceanospirillales; Halomonadaceae. The record is from RNAcentral.
CCUACGGGUGGCUGCAGUGGGGAAUAUUGGACAAUGGGGGGAACCCUGAUCCAGCCAUGCCGCGUGUGUGAAGAAGGCCCUCGGGUUGUAAAGCACUUUCAGUGAGGAAGAACGCCUGGUGGUUAAUACCCAUCAGGAAAGACAUCACUCACAGAAGAAGCACCGGCUAACUCCGUACCAGCAGCCGCGGUAAUACGGAGGGUGCGAGCGUUAAUCGGAAUUACUGGGCGUAAAGCGCGCGUAGGUGGCUUGAUAAGCCGGUUGUGAAAGCCCCGGGCUCAACCUGGGAACGGCAUCCGGAACUGUCAAGCUAGAGUGCAGGAGAGGAAGGUAGAAUUCCCGGUGUAGCGGUGAAAUGCGUAGAGAUCGGGAGGAAUACCAGUGGCGAAGGCGGCCUUCUGGACUGACACUGACACUGAGGUGCGAAAGCGUGGGUAGCAAACAGGAUUAGAUACCCCUGUAGUC